GAACCCCCCCUCGCCGACAAUUGUACCGCAAUGUCGCGACGGCGGUUAUCCCAAGGGUUAUUCUAAAAAAAACCUUUCUCAUUAGGGUAAAAAGCUUUUAGAAAAAAAAGGGGCAAGACCGGUGCCAGCCGCCGCGGUAACACCGGCAGCUCAAGUGGUAGCUGUUUUUAUUGGGCCUAAAGCGUUCGUAGCCGGUUUGAUAAGUCUUUGGUGAAAGCUUGUAGCUUAACUAUAAAAAUUGCUGAAAAUACUGUCAGACUUGAAGUCGGGAGAGGUUAGAGGUACUACCGGGGUAGGGGUGAAAUCCUAUAAUCCUGGGAGGACCACCUGUGGGGAAGGCGUCUAACUGGAACGAUCUUGACGGUGAGUAACGAAAGCCAGGGGUUCGAACCGGAUUAAAUACCCGGGUAGUCUUGGCCGGAAACGAUGUGGACUUGGUGUUGGAAUGGUCUCGAGUUGUUCCGGGGCCAAAGGGAAGCUGUUAAGUCCACCGCCUGGAAAGUACGGUCGCAAAACUAAAACUUAAAGGAAUUGGGGGGGGAAAGGGCAAAUUCUUUUAAACUUGCAGGACUAGUCCCUUUAGUGAGGGUUAUUUCUGAGCUGGGCGUAAUCAUGGCCAUAGCUGUUUCCGAA
Molecule: ribosomal RNA, 633 nt
Filed under: uncultured Methanosphaera sp.
Lineage: Archaea; Methanobacteriati; Methanobacteriota; Methanobacteria; Methanobacteriales; Methanobacteriaceae
Description: partial 16S ribosomal RNA
Rfam family: Archaeal small subunit ribosomal RNA
Source: RNAcentral